AACGAACGCUGGCGGCGUGCCUAACACAUGCAAGUCGAACGUGAUUAGAGAGCUUGCUCUCUAUGAAAGUGGCGCACGGGUGAGUAACGCGUAGAUAAUCUGCCUGGUGAUUUGGGAUAACACUUCGAAAGGGGUGCUAAUACCGAAUAAGCCCACGGAGUCCUUGGAUUCGGCGGGAAAAGGAGGGGACCUUCGGGCCUUCCGUCAUCAGAUGAGUCUGCGUACCAUUAGCUAGUUGGUAGGGUAAAGGCCUACCAAGGCGACGAUGGUUAGCUGGUCUGAGAGGAUGAUCAGCCACACUGGAACUGAGACACGGUCCAGACUCCUACGGGAGGCAGCAGUGGGGAAUUUUGCGCAAUGGGGGAAACCCUGACGCAGCAACGCCGCGUGAGUGAUGAAGGCCCUUGGGUCGUAAAGCUCUGACAGAGGGAAAGAAAUGUGGGUGGCUAAUAUCCAUUCCACUUGACGGUACCCUCAAAGGAAGCACCGGCUAACUCCGUGCCAGCAGCCGCCGUAA
RNAcentral lists this ribosomal RNA (517 nucleotides) under uncultured bacterium. RNAcentral describes it as "partial 16S ribosomal RNA". It matches the Rfam family "Bacterial small subunit ribosomal RNA", at positions 29 to 523 of the family's 1533-position model. The record is from RNAcentral.